RNAcentral lists this transfer RNA (75 nucleotides) under Chloroflexota bacterium. Its description in RNAcentral is "Chloroflexi bacterium tRNA-Arg". It matches the Rfam family "tRNA". From Rfam's summary of the family: Transfer RNA (tRNA) molecules are approximately 80 nucleotides in length. Their secondary structure includes four short double-helical elements and three loops (D, anti-codon, and T loops). Lineage: Bacteria; Bacillati; Chloroflexota. The record is from RNAcentral.
GCCCCCGUAGCUAAAAGGAUUAGCAUGACGCUACGAACGUCAGUAAUGGAGGUUCGAGUCCUCUCGGGGGUGCAA